RNAcentral lists this ribosomal RNA (330 nucleotides) under Triticum aestivum (bread wheat). RNAcentral describes it as "partial small subunit ribosomal RNA". Lineage: Eukaryota; Viridiplantae; Streptophyta; Magnoliopsida; Poales; Poaceae. The record is from RNAcentral.
AUGAAUUUAUACACGAUAGGUAAAUAUAUUGCACAAGAAGAACUUUGUGUUAUUUUUAGGGAUGAGACCAGAUGCAUCGAGACAUUGUUGCCGGUGCCCUAUAAAAUCGGUGCAGGCAAGCUAUGCUCCUUCCUUGCAUUGUCCACCUAUAUCUUGGCAGUCCUAGUAAAACUGGAUCGGCGACCUAGCGCCCAGUCUAGAAAAGAAAAAAACAAACAUGAAAAAAAAGAAAAAAUAUAUAAAAAAGAAAAAAUGAGUGAAAACCCAGAAAAAAGAAACAAAAGAAAAAGAAAAAACCGAUUCAUAGAAGGUUCUAGAACCCUCUCAUAA